Molecule: ribosomal RNA, 409 nt
Filed under: uncultured soil bacterium
Lineage: Bacteria
Description: bacterial SSU rRNA
Rfam family: Bacterial small subunit ribosomal RNA
Source: RNAcentral
AGAUUGAACGCUGGCGGCAGGCCUAACACAUGCAAGUCGAGCGGCAGCACGGGUACUUGUACCUGGUGGCGAGCGGCGGACGGGUGAGUAAUGCCUAGGAAUCUGCCUGGUAGUGGGGGAUAACGCUCGGAAACGGACGCUAAUACCGCAUACGUCCUACGGGAGAAAGCAGGGGACCUUCGGGCCUUGCGCUAUCAGAUGAGCCUAGGUCGGAUUAGCUAGUUGGUGAGGUAAUGGCUCACCAAGGCGACGAUCCGUAACUGGUCUGAGAGGAUGAUCAGUCACACUGGAACUGAGACACGGUCCAGACUCCGUACGGGAGGCAGCAGGUGGGGAAUAGUUGGACAAGUGGGACGAAAGCCUAGAUCCAGCCAUGCCGCGUGUGUGAAGAGGUCUUCGGAUUAGUAAA